AGUGAACGCUGGCGGUAGGCCUAACACAUGCAAGUCGAACGGCAGCACAGUAAGAGCUUGCUCUUACGGGUGGCGAGUGGCGGACGGGUGAGGAAUACAUCGGAAUCUACCUUUUCGUGGGGGAUAACGUAGGGAAACUUACGCUAAUACCGCAUACGACCUACGGGUGAAAGCAGGGGAUCUUCGGACCUUGCGCGAUUGAAUGAGCCGAUGUCGGAUUAGCUAGUUGGCGGGGUAAAGGCCCACCAAGGCGACGAUCCGUAGCUGGUCUGAGAGGAUGAUCAGCCACACUGGAACUGAGACACGGUCCAGACUCCUACGGGAGGCAGCAGUGGGGAAUAUUGGACAAUGGGCGCAAGCCUGAUCCAGCCAUACCGCGUGGGUGAAGAAGGCCUUCGGGUUGUAAAGCCCUUUUGUUGGGAAAGAAAAGCAGCAGGUUAAUACCCUGCUGUUCUGACGGUACCCAAAGAAUAAGCACCGGCUAACUUCGUG
This 492-nucleotide ribosomal RNA is filed under the name uncultured bacterium. RNAcentral describes it as "partial 16S ribosomal RNA". It matches the Rfam family "Bacterial small subunit ribosomal RNA", at positions 29 to 507 of the family's 1533-position model. The record is from RNAcentral.